This 492-nucleotide ribosomal RNA is filed under the name uncultured bacterium. RNAcentral's name for it is "partial 16S ribosomal RNA". It matches the Rfam family "Bacterial small subunit ribosomal RNA", at positions 29 to 507 of the family's 1533-position model. The record is from RNAcentral.
AGUGAACGCUGGCGGUAGGCCUAACACAUGCAAGUCGAACGGCAGCACAGUAAGAGCUUGCUCUUACGGGUGGCGAGUGGCGGACGGGUGAGGAAUACAUCGGAAUCUACUUUUUCGUGGGGGAUAACGCAGGGAAACUUACGCUAAUACCGCAUACGACCUACGGGUGAAAGCAGGGGAUCUUCGGACCUUGCGCGAUUGAAUGAGCCGAUGUCGGAUUAGCUAGUUGGCGGGGUAAAGGCCCACCAAGGCGACGAUCCGUAGCUGGUCUGAGAGGAUGAUCAGCCACACUGGAACUGAGACACGGCCCAGACUCCUACGGGAGGCAGCAGUGGGGAAUAUUGGACAAUGGGCGCAAGCCUGAUCCAGCCAUACUGCGUGGGUGAAGAAGGCCUUCGGGUUGUAAAGCCCUUUUGUUGGGAAAGAAAAGCAGCAGGUUAAUACCCCGCUGUUCUGACGGUACCCAAAGAAUAAGCACCGGCUAACUUCGUG